CCGAGUUUUCCUGCUUCAGGAACUCCCACCCUUGACCAUCCGAUGUUGCUUCGGCGAGACGUUGGAAACAGCCGUUGGCGGAAGAUCAAUUCUGCCGGCGCGAACUCGCCGGAGUCCUAUACUCUGAAUUUGUGUCGUCAGAUAAACAAGCAAUGAAA
This 158-nucleotide unclassified non-coding RNA is filed under the name uncultured fungus. Its description in RNAcentral is "sequence contains ITS1". The record is from RNAcentral. Lineage: Eukaryota; Fungi.